Molecule: ribosomal RNA, 685 nt
Filed under: uncultured Staphylococcus sp.
Lineage: Bacteria; Bacillati; Bacillota; Bacilli; Caryophanales; Staphylococcaceae
Description: bacterial SSU rRNA
Rfam family: Bacterial small subunit ribosomal RNA
Source: RNAcentral
AGUCGAGCGAACGGACGAGAAGCUUGCUUCUCUGAUGUUAGCGGCGGACGGGUGAGUAACACGUGGAUAACCUACCUAUAAGACUGGGAUAACUUCGGGAAACCGGAGCUAAUACCGGAUAAUAUUUUGAACCGCAUGGUUCAAAAGUGAAAGACGGUCUUGCUGUCACUUAUAGAUGGAUCCGCGCUGCAUUAGCUAGUUGGUAAGGUAACGGCUUACCAAGGCAACGAUGCAUAGCCGACCUGAGAGGGUGAUCGGCCACACUGGAACUGAGACACGGUCCAGACUCCUACGGGAGGCAGCAGUAGGGAAUCUUCCGCAAUGGGCGAAAGCCUGACGGAGCAACGCCGCGUGGGUGAUGAAGGUCUUCGGAUCGUAAAACUCUGUUAUUAGGGAAGAACAUAUGUGUAAGUAACUGUGCACAUCUUGACGGUACCUAAUCAGAAAGCCACGGCUAACUACGUGCCAGCAGCCGCGGUAAUACGUAGGUGGCAAGCGUUAUCCGGAAUUAUUGGGCGUAAAGCGCGCGUAGGCGGUUUUUUAAGUCUGAUGUGAAAGCCCACGGCUCAACCGUGGAGGGUCAUUGGAAACUGGAAAACUUGAGUGCAGAAGAGGAAAGUGGAAUUCCAUGUGUAGCGGUGAAAUGCGCAGAGAUAUGGAGGAACACCAGUGGCGAAGGCGACUU